This 74-nucleotide transfer RNA is filed under the name Simkaniaceae bacterium. RNAcentral describes it as "tRNA-Arg". It matches the Rfam family "tRNA". From Rfam's summary of the family: Transfer RNA (tRNA) molecules are approximately 80 nucleotides in length. Their secondary structure includes four short double-helical elements and three loops (D, anti-codon, and T loops). The record is from RNAcentral. Lineage: Bacteria; Pseudomonadati; Chlamydiota; Chlamydiia; Parachlamydiales; Simkaniaceae.
GCACCGGUAGCUCAAUUGGAUAGAGUACCUGGCUACGGACCAGGAGGUUUGAGGUUCGAUCCCUCACCGGUGCA